UUACUUUAUAUACACAUGCAAGUAUCCGCCCCCCUGUGAAAACGCCCUUUAACCCCUCUCAGGACCAAGGAGCUGGUAUUAGGCACAAUAAUCUGCCCAAGACACCUAGCUAUGCCACACCCAUAAGGGAAUUCAGCAGUGAUUAACAUUGAAAAUUAAAGCUUGACUCAGUUUAAGUAAAAGAGCCGGCCAAUCUGGUGCCAGCCGCCGCGGUUACACCAUGUGGCUCAAAUUGACCCCCUCCGGCGUAAAGCGUGAUUAAAGUUAAACUCUUAGGGUUGAACUAAAACUAAGCCGUGACACGCCUGUUAUAAGAAACUCUUAAACGAAAGUUACUCUAAUUUAAUCAACUUGAACUCACGUCAGCUGGGGAACAAACUGGGAUUAGAUACCCCACUAUGCCCAAUCGUAAACUUUUAAUUACACGCCAGGGAACUACGAGCCAAGCUUAAAACCCAAAGGACUUGACGGUACCCCAUAUCCCCCUAGAGGAGCCUGUCCUAUAAUCGAUAAUCCUCGUUUAACCUCACCAUUUUUGGUUGCCAGCCUGUAUACCUCCGUCGUCAGCUUACCACGUGAGCGCAAGUUAGUGAGCCUAAUGUUUUUCACCAAUACGUCAGGUCAAGGUGCAGUAAAUGAAAUGGGAAGAGAUGGGCUACACUUUCUAUUAUAGAAGAAACGAAAAACUACCUAUGAAAAGUUGGAAGGCGGAUUUAGCAGUAAAAAGGAAUCAGAAUGUCCAUUUUAACCCGGCACUGGGGUGUGUACACACCGCCCGUCACCCUCUUCACAGCUACAAUAGUAUUAACUAACCUAAGCGUAACAGAAGAAGCAAGUCGUAACA
Molecule: non-coding RNA, 844 nt
Filed under: Rhinella manu
Lineage: Eukaryota; Metazoa; Chordata; Amphibia; Anura; Bufonidae
Description: partial 12S ribosomal RNA
Rfam family: Bacterial small subunit ribosomal RNA
Source: RNAcentral